This 399-nucleotide ribosomal RNA is filed under the name uncultured bacterium. RNAcentral's name for it is "bacterial SSU rRNA". It matches the Rfam family "Bacterial small subunit ribosomal RNA", at positions 505 to 916 of the family's 1533-position model. The record is from RNAcentral.
GUGCCAGCAGCCGCGGUAAUACAGAGAGGGAAAGUGUUGAGCGAAUGGACUAGGCAUAAAAAGCAGGUAGGUUGUUUGUUUGGUUCGAAUUGUAUUUUUUUGACUGUUCAAAAAAGCAUAAAGAAACAAAUAGGCUUGAAUCAUAGUAUGGGCAAGGGAAUGGCCUUAGGACUGGUAGAAUAGGAGCAUAAGGGUUGGAACGUCGAAAGCGAAGGCACUUGCCUGGCUAUGAAUUGACACUGAGCUGCGGAAGUGUGGAGAACAAAUGAGAUUAGAGACCUCAGUAGCCCACACCAUCAACGAUGAGUGCUUUCCAGAUAUUUUUCUGUGAACGCCAAAUGUACAAGCACUCUGCCUGGGGAGUACCGUCGCAAGGCAGAAACUCAAAGGAAUUGACGG